AACGAACGCUGGCGGCGUGCCUAACACAUGCAAGUCGUGCGAGAAAGUUCCUUCGGGAGCGAGUAAAGCGGCGCACGGGUGAGUAACACGUAGGUAACCUGCCCCCCAGUCCGGAACAACUAGAGGAAACUCUAGCUAAUGCCGGAUGAGACCACGAUCCCUUCGGGGGUUGCGGCCAAAGAUGGCCUCUACUUGUAAGCUAUCGCUGAGGGAUGGGCCUGCGGGCCAUUAGCUUGUUGGUGAGGUAACGGCUCACCAAGGCUGUGAUGGCUAGCUGGUCUGAGAGGAUGACCAGCCACACUGGGACUGAGACACGGCCCAGACUCCUACGGGAGGCAGCAGUGGGGAAUAUUGCGCAAUGGGCGAAAGCCUGACGCAGCGACGCCGCGUGGGUGAUGAAGGCCU
Molecule: ribosomal RNA, 405 nt
Filed under: uncultured bacterium
Lineage: Bacteria
Description: bacterial SSU rRNA
Rfam family: Bacterial small subunit ribosomal RNA
Source: RNAcentral